AUUGAACGCUGGCGGCAUGCCUUACACAUGCAAGUCGAACGGUAACGGGCCUUCGGGUGCCGACGAGUGGCGAACGGGUGAGUAAUACAUCGGAACGUGCCCGACCGUGGGGGAUAACGAGGCGAAAGCUUUGCUAAUACAGCAUACGAUCUACGGAUGAGAGCAGGGGACCGCAAGGCCUUGCGCGGACGGAGCGGCCGAUGGCUGAUUAGGUAGUUGGUGGGAUAAAAGCUUACCAAGCCGACGAUCUGUAGCUGGUCUGAGAGGAUGAUCAGCCACACUGGGACUGAGACACGGCCCAGACUCCUACGGGAGGCAGCAGUGGGGAAUUUUGGACAAUGGGCGCAAGCCUGAUCCAGCCAUGCCGCGUGCAGGAUGAAGGCCUUCGGGUUGUAAACUGCUUUUGUACGGAACGAAAAGCCUUCUUUUAAUACAGGAGGGUCAUGACGGUACCGUAAGAAUAAGCACCGGCUAACUACGUG
Molecule: ribosomal RNA, 482 nt
Filed under: uncultured bacterium
Lineage: Bacteria
Description: partial 16S ribosomal RNA
Rfam family: Bacterial small subunit ribosomal RNA
Source: RNAcentral